Molecule: long non-coding RNA, 359 nt
Filed under: Vigna radiata
Lineage: Eukaryota; Viridiplantae; Streptophyta; Magnoliopsida; Fabales; Fabaceae
Description: long non-coding RNA (VRAD_LNC016438)
Source: RNAcentral
UAUUAAGUGAGACAUGGUGGAACAAAUAUAAUUAUGUUGAAAACUUAUUAUGUUAGUUUUCAGAAUACCUGUCAUAGUUUUAAGAAUUUACCAUGGCUAUUAGUUCUAAAUCUGGCAUAGUAUAUUUAAAUCCCUAAUUAUUAUCACUCUCACGUUUCACAAUCAGUCCACACUUAAUCUUCCUCCCAGUCUUUCAUUCUUAAGUUUUCUCAUACAAUUUUCAAUAUCCAGUUUGUUCUCACGUAGUGAUGUCUUCGUCUCCCCUUUUUAUAAUGUUGUUGUCUACCAUAGUUGCAUUGUUGUCCCCUUCGUCUCACUUAGUCACUCCUUGUCUCAAGUCUUCGUCCCCUUCGUCCCCU